This 501-nucleotide ribosomal RNA is filed under the name uncultured bacterium. RNAcentral describes it as "bacterial SSU rRNA". It matches the Rfam family "Bacterial small subunit ribosomal RNA", at positions 28 to 507 of the family's 1533-position model. The record is from RNAcentral.
GACGAACGCUGGCGGCGUGCCUAAUACGUGCAAGUCGAGCGGAAUGAUGAAGAAGCUUGCUUCUUCUGAUUUUAGCGGCGGACGGGUGAGUAACACGUGGGCAACCUACCUUGUAGAUUGGGAUAACUCCGGGAAACCGGGGCUAAUACCGAAUAAUCCAUUUCGCUUCAUGGCGAGAUGUUGAAAGACGGUUUCGGCUGUCACUACAAGAUGGGCCCGCGGCGCAUUAGCUAGUUGGUAGGGUAAUGGCCUACCAAGGCGACGAUGCGUAGCCGACCUGAGAGGGUGAUCGGCCACACUGGGACUGAGACACGGCCCAGACUCCUACGGGAGGCAGCAGUAGGGAAUCUUCCACAAUGGACGAAAGUCUGAUGGAGCAACGCCGCGUGAGUGAAGAAGGUUUUCGGAUCGUAAAACUCUGUUGUAAGGGAAGAACACGUACGAGAGUAACUGCUCGUACCUUGACGGGUACCUUAUUAGAAAGCCACGGCUAACUACGUG